CCUACGGGUGGCAGCAGUGGGGAAUAUUGGUCAAUGGCCGGAAGGCUGAACCAGCCAUGCCGCGUGAAGGUCAGUGCCCUAUGGGCGUUAAACUUCUUUUGUGCGGGAGCAAUAAUGGUCACGUGUGGCCAGACGAGAGUACCGUACGAAUAAGCAUCGGCUAACUCCGUGCCAGCAGCCGCGGUAAUACGGGGGAUGCAAGCGUUAUCCGGAUUUAUUGGGUUUAAAGGGUGCGUAGGCUGUGAGGUAAGUCAGCGGUGAAAUGCCCCCGCUCAACGGGGUGAAGUGCCAUUGAAACUGCCUGGCUGGAAUGCGGAUGCCGUGGGAGGAAUGUGUGGUGUAGCGGUGAAAUGCAUAGAUAUCACACAGAACACCGAUUGCGAAGGCAUCUCACGAAUCCGCGAUUGACGCUGAUGCACGAAAGCGUGGGUAUCAAACAGGAUUAGAUACCCGGGUAGUC
RNAcentral lists this ribosomal RNA (460 nucleotides) under uncultured bacterium. RNAcentral describes it as "partial 16S ribosomal RNA". It matches the Rfam family "Bacterial small subunit ribosomal RNA", at positions 338 to 795 of the family's 1533-position model. The record is from RNAcentral.